GAGUUUGAUCGUGGCUCAGAACGAACGCUGGCGGCAGGCUUAACACAUGCAAGUCGAACGCAUCGCAAGAUGAGUGGCAGACGGGUGAGUAACACGUGGGAACGUACCCUUUACUACGGAAUAACGCAGGGAAACUUGUGCUAAUACCGUAUGUGCCCCCCUUUGGUGGACAUUGGGGGGGGAAAGAUUUAUCGGUAAAGGAUCGGCCCGCGUUGGAUUAGCUAGUUGGUGGGGUAAAGGCCUACCAAGGCGACGAUCCAUAGCUGGUCUGAGAGGAUGAUCAGCCACAUUGGGACUGAGACACGGCCCAAACUCCUACGGGAGGCAGCAGUGGGGAAUAUUGGACAAUGGGCGCAAGCCUGAUCCAGCCAUGCCGCGUGAGUGAUGAAGGCCUUAGGGUUGUAAAGCUCUUUCACCGGAGAAGAUAAUGACGGUAUCCGGAGAAGAAGCCCCGGCUAACUUCGUGCCAGCAGCCGCUGU
This 480-nucleotide ribosomal RNA is filed under the name uncultured Alphaproteobacteria bacterium. RNAcentral's name for it is "bacterial SSU rRNA". It matches the Rfam family "Bacterial small subunit ribosomal RNA", at positions 9 to 521 of the family's 1533-position model. Lineage: Bacteria; Pseudomonadati; Pseudomonadota; Alphaproteobacteria. The record is from RNAcentral.